UUGAUUCCUGAGCUACACCUUAAUAUUUCUUUGGACCAGUUAUGAGAACUCUAUAUCCCUCAUAUUUUUAAGGUGGAGUCAUAGGAAAUUAAAGCUUAGUAAUGAAAGUAAAAGUCUUAAUAGACGUGCUGAAUAGUUCAAUGUAUACUACUGAAAAGUUACUUGUAAGCUAAAGAAUGUAUGAGGAUUAAUUUAAAAUGGGGUUAAAAAAUGGGAGUUAGAGUAAGAGGCCUGGAUAUAUCAGUUACUGAUUAUUAUGUUGUAAAUAAAGCAUCUUUUCCAAACAAACUUAAACAAUAAGAUCUUUUGUUUAAUACAACCAGAAGGAAGAUUGAUUCCAGUGGCUCUGGGUCUGUUUCUGUGUAAUUCAUUCAGCGAUGCCCCCUUUCUUUGGACUUCACCUCCAGAUUUUUAUAAAUCAAAAUAAAAUGCUGCAGUGCCUUUCAAGAAGAAAGAAUAUUAUUUGGAAAUUAUUUUGUAUCCUGUGAAAAAAUAAUGAUAAGCUUUAUAUUAUUAAGGUAGGUAAAUUUUUAUUUAAUUGGUCAGAUUUUGACUUAUUGCUCUAGAAUUUUUUUCAGAAAGCAAAUAUAUAUAUAUAUAUAUAAUUUACAGCUUAAGUAUCAACAGACUAUAUGUUAUACAACCUAGCUAAUUGAUAGAAUAUUUAUUGCUAUACUGCUUUAUAGUUUUUCUGCAGCCAUGCUGAACAAAGAGUUUCCUUUUUUUUUCUGUUUAACAUUUGCUUCACUUCUGAUGGAAUUCAGUACUGCUUUGGUAUCUAAGUAUGGAAAUUUGGGCUGGCUUGAAUGCGUUGAGAUUUGGUAGUAAAUCCACCCAUUUUACUACACUUGAGAUAGUGUUUGUGACUUUAAAGGAGUGUUAACUUUGUAUGAAUAAAAGGAUAUGAUGGCCAUGUGGACAAAAAAAAAAAAAAAA
Molecule: non-coding RNA, 936 nt
Organism: Sus scrofa (pig)
Lineage: Eukaryota; Metazoa; Chordata; Mammalia; Artiodactyla; Suidae
Source: RefSeq, a predicted model, not a curated record